Molecule: non-coding RNA, 245 nt
Organism: Paramuricea clavata
Lineage: Eukaryota; Metazoa; Cnidaria; Anthozoa; Malacalcyonacea; Plexauridae
Source: the annotation of a GenBank genome assembly
GAAGUAUCUACUAAAACCGAAGGCAAACAUUUAACAAUAGGAUUAAUAUGGUAAUCCACAAACUCAGAAAUACGCUCUGUGGGCGUCCCACAGUUCGAAACCACUGGCCUACCCGGAACAUUCACUAAUCGCUUGUCUAUCUUAGGCAACAAAUAAAAUCUGCCUAAAUUUACACUCUCUCCUUUUAGAUACUUCCGAUUUACCUCGGUUAUCUUUCCUUCAUGUGCCAUUUUUUUUAACUUUCC